Molecule: long non-coding RNA, 380 nt
Organism: Zophobas morio
Lineage: Eukaryota; Metazoa; Arthropoda; Insecta; Coleoptera; Tenebrionidae
Exons: 3
Source: RefSeq, a predicted model, not a curated record
UGGAAAAAUUGCAUUUCACAGAUUAUAUUUCCUAUUCACCAAGUAGUUAUGAAUUUAAUUGCGUGACGGAGCCUUCCGUAUUCUCCGACAAAGUUGAAAUACAAACAAGAACGUUUUUAGAAACUAAUAUCGAAAAGGAUGGAUGCUCUUGUUCACAAGUUUGCCAUGCAAGAGUUGCAAUACAUAUUAUUGGAGUUGGUAAAGUUGUGGAAAAACUUAUUAAAGGAGGUUUAGAAGAUGCCUACUCAAAACUUGGUUCUCUAUGCCUAGACUUUAUGGAACUGUACCCAGAGUUGUGCAAAGCUUAACGGCAAAUAUUCGUGUCUCAUAUAACAAUAUCGGUGAAGUCUACUUUUUUGUAAUAGCUAUGUAUUUAACGG